ACGAAGUCUUCGGACUGAGUGGCGGACGGGUGAGUAACGCGUGAGAAUCUGCCUAGAGGUCGGGGACAACCAUUGGAAACGAUGGCUAAUACCGGAUAUGCCUUACGGGGUGAAAGAUUAAUUGCCUUUAGAAGAGCUCGCGUCUGAUUAGCUAGUUGGUGAGGUAAGAGCUCACCAAGGCAGCGAUCAGUAGCUGGUCUGAGAGGAUGACCAGCCACACUGGGACUGAGACACGGCCCAGACUCCUACGGGAGGCAGCAGUGGGGAAUUUUCCGCAAUGGGCGAAAGCCUGACGGAGCAAGACCGCGUGAGGGAGGAAGGCUCUUGGGUUGUAAACCUCUUUUGUCAGGGAAGAACAAAAUGACGGUACCUGACGAAUCAGCAUCGGCUAACUCCGUGCCAGCAGCCGCGGUAAUACGGAGGAUGCAAGCGUUAUCCGGAAUUAUUGGGCGUAAAGCGUCCGCAGGUGGCUGAUCAAGUCUGCGGUCAAAGACCGGGGCUUAACCCUGGAAAGGCCGUGGAAACUGAUAGAGCUAGAGUACCGUAGGGGUAGAGGGAAUUCCCGGUGUAGCGGUGAAAUGCGUAGAGAUCGGGAAGAACAUCGGUGGCGAAAGCGCUCUACUGGACGGUGACUGACACUCAGGGACGAAAGCUAGGGGAGCGAAUGGGAUUAGAUACCCCAGUAGUCCUAGCCGUAAACGAUGGAUACUAG
This 712-nucleotide ribosomal RNA is filed under the name uncultured cyanobacterium. RNAcentral describes it as "bacterial SSU rRNA". It matches the Rfam family "Bacterial small subunit ribosomal RNA", at positions 66 to 819 of the family's 1533-position model. The record is from RNAcentral. Lineage: Bacteria; Bacillati; Cyanobacteriota.